RNAcentral lists this ribosomal RNA (1053 nucleotides) under uncultured organism. RNAcentral's name for it is "bacterial SSU rRNA". It matches the Rfam family "Bacterial small subunit ribosomal RNA", at positions 292 to 1374 of the family's 1533-position model. The record is from RNAcentral.
GUGAGAGCGCGACCCCCCACAAUGGAACUGAGAAACGGUCCAUACUCCUACGGGAGGCAGCAGUGAGGAAUAUUGCACAAUGGGGGAAACCCUGAUGCAGCAACGCCGCGUGAACGAUGAAGGCCUUCGGGUUGUAAAGUUCUUUUCUGGGGGACGAUAGUGACGGUACCUCAGGAAUAAGUCCCGGCUAACUACGUGCCAGCAGCCGCGGUAAAACGUAGGGGGCGAGCGUUAUCCGGAUUUAUUGGGCGUAAAGCGCAAGUAGGCAGCGUUGUAAGUUGGACGUGAAAGCUCCCGGCUCAACUGGGAGAGGUCGUUCAAAACUACAGUGCUCGAGGUUGGAAGAGGAGAGUAGAAUUCCCGGUGUAGUGGUGGAAUGCGUAGAUAUCGGGAGGAAUACCAGUGGCGAAAGCGACUCUCUGGUCCACACCUGACGCUGAGGUGCGAAAGCGUGGGUAGCGAACGGGAUUAGAUACCCCGGUAGUCCACGCCGUAAACGAUGGAUACUAGGUGUAGGGGGUCACUGAAUCCCUCUGUGCCGUAGCAAACGCGUUAAGUAUCCCGCCUGGGGACUACGGCCGCAAGGUUAAAACUCAAAGGAAUUGACGGGGGCCCGCACAAGCAGCGGAGCGUGUGGUUUAAUUCGAUGAUACGCGAAGAACCUUACCUGGGCUGAACUACGUGGUAGUAGAGAAGCGAAAGCGGAUCGACCCUUCGGGGAGCCUCGAUAGGUGCUGCAUGGCUGUCGUCAGCUCGUGUCGUGAGAUGUUGGGUUAAGUCCCGCAACGAGCGCAACGCUUGUCGUUAGUUAUACGUGUCUAGCGAGACUGCCGGUAUCAAACCGGAGCAAGGUGGGGAUGACGUCAAGUCAGCAUGGUCUUUAUGUCCAGGGCUACACACACGCUACAAUGGCCGGUACAACAGGUUGCUAUACCGCGAGGUGGAGCUAAUCCCUAAAGCCGGUCUCAGUUCGGAUUGCAGUCUGCAACUCGACUGCAUGAAGGUGGAGUUGCUAGUAACCGCGCGUCAGCAAUCGUGCGGUGAAUGCGUUCC